AGUGAACGCUGGCGGUAGGCCUAACACAUGCAAGUCGAACGGCAGCACAGUAAGAGCUUGCUCUUACGGGUGGCGAGUGGCGGACGGGUGAGGAAUACAUCGGAAUCUACUUUUUCGUGGGGGAUAACGUAGGGAAACUUACGCUAAUACCGCAUACGACCUACGGGUGAAAGCAGGGGAUCUUCGGACCUUGCGCGAUUGAAUGCGCCGAUGUCGGAUUAGCUAGUUGGCGGGGUAAAGGCCCACCAAGGCGACGAUCCGUAGCUGGUCUGAGAGGAUGAUCGGCCACACUGGAACUGAGACACGGUCCAGACUACUACGGGAGGCAGCAGUGGGGAAUAGUAGACAAUGGGCGCAAGCCUGAUCCAGCCAUACCGCGUGGGUGAAGAAGGCCUUCGGGUUGUAAAGCCCUUUUGUUGGGAAAGAAAAGCAGCAGGUUAAUACCCCGCUGUUCUGACGGUACCCAAAGAAUAAGCACCGGCUAACUUCGUG
RNAcentral lists this ribosomal RNA (492 nucleotides) under uncultured bacterium. RNAcentral's name for it is "partial 16S ribosomal RNA". It matches the Rfam family "Bacterial small subunit ribosomal RNA", at positions 29 to 507 of the family's 1533-position model. The record is from RNAcentral.